AUUGAACGUUGGCGGCACGCCUAAUACAUGCAAGUCGAACGAGAAAGCGCCUUCGGGUGUGAGUAAAGUGGCGGACGGGUGAGUAACGCGUAGGAAUUUGCCUAGCAGUGGGGGACAACUCGGGGAAACUCGAGCUAAUACCGCAUAAUAUCUACGGAUUAAAGUGGGGGAUCUUCGGACCUCACGCUGCUAGAGGAGCCUGCGUUGGAUUAGCUUGUUGGUGGGGUAAUGGCCUACCAAGGCGACGAUCCAUAGCUGGUCUGAGAGGACGAUCAGCCACACUGGAACUGAGACACGGUCCAGACUCCUACGGGAGGCAGCAGUAGGGAAUCUUGGGCAAUGGGCGAAAGCCUGACCCAGCGAUGCCGCGUGUGUGAAGAAGGCCUUCGGGUUGUAAAGCACUUUCAGCAGCGAAGAAAUGUCGGGGGCUAAUAUCCCUCUGGCUUUGACGUUAACUGCAGAAGAAGUACCGGCUAACUCCGUG
Molecule: ribosomal RNA, 484 nt
Filed under: uncultured bacterium
Lineage: Bacteria
Description: bacterial SSU rRNA
Rfam family: Bacterial small subunit ribosomal RNA
Source: RNAcentral